CGAGAAUGGGGGGGAAAAAAAAGAUUUUUGGGCUUUUUGCUCCUAAGCCCAAUAUUAGUGUUAAUUAGGGUGUGUUUUAAGCUUAAGAGAAUGUAGUAGGAUUUUUAUGUUUUUCUUGAACUAGUUUUAGGUUAUUCAUGUAUCAAGGCUUUUAAUUUAUUUAAUUCUAGGCCCAACAUGACCUAAAAUGUUAAAAUAAAUAAGUGUGGGUCCAAUUAGAGCCCAAUUAGGGUUCUAAGCCCAUGAUAGUCUAAUUGGAAGCUUAUUGGCCCAUUUGGAUCCAAUAAGGAAGUUCUAGCCUAAAUUAGACUUAACAAGAACUUCUAGGGUCUCCAAUUGUUUGAUGACUAUUUGUAGUUCUAGCAUGUUGUAUUUGAUUGAAGUUUUUGAUUCACAUUAACUUGAAUGUAUAGAUUACAUGGCUCAAAAUUUACAGUUGUGACAUCAUCCCCCCGUUAGAGGGAAUUUCGUCCCGAAAUUCUGUUUGAAAGCUAGAUUUGAGAAUGCUAGAAUAGGUGAGGGUACUUCUGCUUCAUUUGAUCUUCGCGUUCCCACGUGAAUUCUGGCCCACGCUUUGCGUUCCACCGUACCUUCACGAUCGGGAUGCGACUCUGCUUAGUACGCUUCACCUCCCUGUCCAUGAUUUCGAUUGGCUCUUCGACGAACAGGAGAUUCUCAUUGAUUUCGAUUUCGUCAAGAGGAAUGACAAGGGUUUCAUCUGAUAGGCACUUUUUCAGAUUAGAAACAUGAAACACGGGGUGCACACCGUUUAGCUCCGGGGGUAGUUGUAGUCUGUAGGCUACCGGACCUAUUCGGGCGACGAUUUCGAAAGGUCCAAUGUACCGUGGGUUUAGCUUUCCUCGUUUUCCGAAACGUAUAACCCCUUUCCAGGGUGAGACCUUCAACAAUACUCGAUCACCGACCUGGAAUUCUAAGGGCUUUCGCCGUUUAUCAGCGUAGCUCUUUUGCCGGUCACGCGAUGCCUGUAAUCGAGCUUUGAUCUGGACAAUCUUUUCUGUGGUCUCGCGAAUGAUUUCCGGUCCUGUCAUUGCCCUAUCCGACGUAUGUGUUCUUGCUAGCUGGGUGUCACCUACUUCAGCCCAACAUAACGGUGAUCUACAUUUACGCCCGUACAGUGCUUCGAAAGGGGCCACCUUAAUGCUCGAAUGAUAACUAUUGUUAUAUGAAAACUCGAUCAACGGUAGGUGGGUAUCCCAAGACUUUCCGAAGUCUAUCACACAUGCACGAAGCAUGUCUUCAAGCGUCUGAAUGGUUCGUUCGCUUUGACCGUCCGUUUGUGGGUGAUACGCGGUGCUCAUAUCAAGAUGAGUUCCCAUGGCCUUGUGGAGCGACUGCCAAAAGCGUGACGUGAACCUACUGUCCCUAUCCGAGAUGAUAGAUUUUGGCACUCCAUGAAGUCUUACAAUCUCUCGUAGGUACAAACGCGUCAGCCUCUCCAUCUUGUAGGACUCUUUGAUUGGCAGGAAAUGGGCAGAUUUCGUCAGUCGGUCGAUUAUUACCCAUAUGGUGUCCAAUCCGUCCGACGUCUUGGGCAGCUUGGUCACGAAGUCCAUAGAAAUCCCCUCCCAUUUCCACUCAGGGAUUGCCGGUUGCUGUAACAAUCCGGAAGGUUUCUGGUAUUCCACUUUUACUUUGGCACACGUAAGGCACUUACUAACAUAAGUUGCGAUUUCCGCCUUCAUGUUAGGCCACCAAUAGUGCUGCUUAAUGUCCAAAUACAUCUUGUCCGAACCAGGAUGAAUGGAGUAUCGUGUCUUGUGGGCUUCCUUCAUAACGGUCUCCCUGAAUCCUCCGAUUUUUGGAACCCAAAUACGGUUCAUGAAGUAGUAUACCCCAUUCUCUUUGACUUCCAGGUUCUUCUCCAUUCCGCGUAAUGCCUCGCUAGUUCUAUUUUCCGCUUUCAUAGCCUCUGCCUGGACUGAUGCAAUUUGAGUGGUCAGAUGAGACUGAAUGGUUAUCGAGUGCGUUUUCGUACGGCGAUUUGUGUAUUCCUUCCGACUUAAUGCGUCAGCUACCACGUUGGCCUUGCCUGGAUGGUACUUGAUCUCGCAUUCGUAGUCGUUUAACAAUUCCACCCAUCUUCGUUGUCUCAUGUUCAGCUCCUUCUGAUUCAAGAUGUGCUGGAGGCUCUUGUGGUCCGUAAAGAUGGUGCACUUUGUACCGUACAGGUAGUGCCUCCAAAUUUUUAGGGCGAAGACCACGGCUCCCAGUUCUAGGUCAUGGGUUGUGUAAUUUACUUCGUGCGUCUUUAGUUGACGGGACGCAUAUGCUAUCACUCUUCCACGUUGCAUGAGAACGCAACCUAAGCCUUGAUUUGACGCGUCACAGUAAACUACAAAAUCUUCCGUUCCUUCGGGUAGAGAUAGUACAGGAGCGCUACAAAGAGCUUGCUUCAAGGCUCGAAACGCAAUCUCUUGUCGGUCUGUCCACUUGAAUGGCACACUCUUUUGCGUAAGCAAGGUAAGUGGCUUGGCGAUUUUAGAGAAGUUUUGGAUGAAUCUCCUAUAGUAGCCUGCUAGGCCUAAGAACUGACGAAUUUCUGUGGGCGUAGUCGGAGUUGCCCAUCCUUCCACAGCUUUGACCUUAGAGGGAUCCACAUGAAUUCCGUCUUGGCUAACUACGUGGCCUAAGAAAUUCACACUCCGAAGCCAGAACUCGCACUUGGAGAGUUUGGCGUAAAGCUUUUCCGAUCGCAGCGUUUCUAGGACUUGUCGGAGAUGUUGGCCAUGCUCCUCUUUGCUUCGAGAAUAGACGAGGAUGUCAUCGAUAAACACAAUGACGAAGUUGUCCAAGAACGGUCGACAGAUUCGGUUCAUUAGGUCCAUAAAUGCAGCGGGUGCAUUUGUUAGACCGAAGGGCAUUACGACGAAUUCAUAAUGUCCAUAGCGGGUUCGGAAAGCGGUUUUAGGAAUAUCUUCUUCUCGGACCUUGAGUUGAUGGUAUCCGGACCGUAGAUCUAUUUUAGAAAAAUAGCUAGCUCCUUGGAGCUGGUCGAAUAGAUCAUCGAUUCGUGGGAGUGGGUAGCGGUUUUUAACAGUGAGUUUAUUCAACUCUCUGUAAUCGAUGCACAUUCUGAAAGAUCCGUCCUUCUUUUUGACAAAGAGCACCGGAGCUCCCCAUGGCGAGUAGCUAGGUCGGAUAAAUCCCUUGUCCAGAAGCUCACUGAGUUGGCUGGAUAAUUCCUGCAUUUCAGCAGGUGCCAACCGAUAUGGUGAUUUAGCGAGGGGAGUUGCUCCUGGAACGAGGUCGAUUCGGAAUUCAACCUGUCUCUCUGGGGGUACUCCUGGAAGAUCUUCGGGAAACACGUCCGGAAAUUCACACGCUACCGGAAUGUCUUGGAUGUUAGUUUCUUCUUUGGUCUUGUCCACUAUGUGGGCCAAGAACGCUAAGUUGUUCUUUCGCAGAUGUUUUUGUGCUUUGAUGCACGAGAUGAGACGAAGAUUCGUACUGGGUUUGUCUCCGUAAAUUACUAGGGUUUCGUGAUUUGGGAGACGAAGGCGAACGGCCUUCUCGUGGCACAAAAUCUCAGCAUGGUGGGGGCUUAACCAAUCCAUGCCGAUAAUCACAUCGAAACUCCUAAUUGAUACUGGCAUUAGGUCUAUUCGAAAGACGUGCUGGUUAAGGGUUAGGGUACAUCCGAUGUAGAUCUCCCUAGUGGAUUCGGUUUUCCCAUUGGCCAUUUCCACCGUAUAGGUUUCAUUUAGCUUCUGGGGUUGUUGUUUUAAUAAAUGUUUAAACUUCUCGCUUACGAAACUUCGCUCCGCUCCGGUAUCAAAUAAGAUGCAUGCAUAAGUGUGGUUUAGGAGGAACGUACCGGUCACAACUGCGGGGUCCUGAACUGCAUCACUCUGACCCAUAGUCAGCAUUCUUCCUGCUCCUCUGUUUCCUGAGUUGUUGUUGUUGUUAGGGCAGUCUCGACGGAAAUGUCCCGUCCUUCCACACCCGAAACAGGUGUGGCUAGGCCCUGCGUUGUUGCCGCCGGCAUUGGUGUUGUUGGUAUUGCGGUGGUUGUUGUUGUUGUUCUGGUUGUUUCCCUGACUCUGGUUCUGAGAAGGAUAAGUCCUGCAGAACUUUGCAGUGUGUCCCCUUCGAUUGCAACUGGUGCAAUGGAACUCCCUACAUUCUCCUUGGUGAUGGAAACCGCACUUGUUGCAUUUGGGAUGAGUGCCGGAAUAGGGUCUUGAAGUAUUUGAAGCAGCUGAGGCUGGAGCAUGUGAUGUGACUGGUACCGGCGCAGUGACAGCGUGAACUGCCACCGUUUGCUGCUUUUUAGAGGUCUCGGGACCCUGACGCCCCUUCCUCUUGUUGUUCCAUCCUUUCUUACCAUCACUCUCCUUCUUCUUCUCAGUCUCUACCGGUUUCUCGCCCUUUUUGUGGUUAUGAUCAUAUAGCCUCUUUGCCAAUCUCUUCGCACUGUCAAAAGUUUCAGGGUUCGCAGCUAUCACAUUCCCUUGAAUGGGGGAUGUCAGUCCCCAAAUGAAUCGUUCAAUCUUCUUCCCCUCUGAUGUGAUCAUACCCGGGCACAACAGAGAUAGUUCGCUGAAUCUCGAUAUGUAAGCAUCGAUGUUCCCAUUCUGCACCGUGAGAUUCCAUAGUUCCUGCUCCAUCUUCUGUAUUUCGCCUCGGGGGCAGUACUCAGCCGUCAACAUCUCUUUCAUCUCUGCCCAGGGAAUAGAGUUGGCGACAGGGAGUGUCAUAGCUUCCACAUGACCAUUCCACCAAGUGAGUGCUUGGUCCACAAAAGUGCAGGCCGCGAACUUCACUUUCAUCUGCUCGGGGCACUCGCAUAUCUCGAAUACCGACUCUACCUUCUCGAUCCAUCGCUUUAGGGCGAUCACUCCUCCGGUACCGUUGAAAGUUCGGGGUUUAGCGUUCGCAAAAUCCUUGUAGGUGCACGUUUUAGUGAGCCCUUGGUUCGUCCCGUUGUUCGAACUUCCGGAGCCUUGACCAUUGCCUCCUCCAUUGUUUCCUCGGUGAAGUUGUGCCAUAGCUGCCGUGACCGCAGCAGACACGGCUGCCUGGAAAGCAGUGGAGUCAACUUCCGGCGGGGUUGGUUCGGGAUUUCCGCGAGUAGCUGGGCGAGGCAUCUUUCUGUCAUGAAACGGAAAGAUGUUGAGUGUACGUGGUUUCGGUGAGGUUAUGAUCCUACUAACUAGGUGUAGGGUACGAACCUAAGCAUUACUAUCAUCAAGCAUAUAAUCAUAACACCUCAACACAUAACAACUGAGAAUAUCAUAGCAAAACACACAAAAGUUUAUUAAUAUUAUCCGUGUUUAGUACAAGAAAAUUUGCUCGUAGGAGCAUACAUAAGUAACACUAAUCCGACAGCAUAACGGCUCCAUGAGUAGUGUAGUCACUUAAACAUAGAGCCGGAGUACAUAACAUAGUUACUAAUAUCCUACUACGAUAGGUCUAUCCCUAACCGCGAUGAGCUGCGUCAGGAGGUGGUGCCGAAGUCAUAUGCCGAAAUGUUGCGCUAGUAGCUGCGCCAUCUCUGCCAUGUCUCCUAUAACUUCAUCCCUCUCGUGCUCUGCUCUCACUGCCCGAGCUUCCAUAGCAUACAGCUGUUGUCGCAGUGCGGCGAUCUCAGCUUCGAGGGAACGGUUCUCCCUCGGGGGGUUCACUGGUGGAGCGGGGUGAUCUGGUUGGGCCUCGUCCUCGCAUGGUGGGAUGGGGUCCUGGCCCCCGACCUGACCCUCCUCGUCGUCAUCGUCGACCUCUCCAAAUUCGUAGUCAGUGUCUAUAUAUUCGUCGGGUUCGACGUCGUGUGCUUCUCCUGGAUGCUCUUCCGGCUCAUCCACCAGCAUCCCGUGAGCUACUAAGGCCUGAUGAAACUGGAUGCCCUGCUGCUCCUCCUCAGGCUCCUCCUCCUCCUCUAGCCACCCGUUGUUUCCCUGAUUAGGGAAGUAGGGGUCUCCAGGGUGAUGAAAACCAGCCAUGCUGUCUGCGCGAGUACGUAAUUAUGCUACAUUAUUCCUAGGGUACUAUGACUAUUACACAGACUAAGCAAAUAUUCUCUUUUUGGGUGAUAUAGGGUAAAAUUUUUAGGUUCCCUGGCUAUUCCGAUCUCAUCAAGACGUGUGUUAGUUUUACCUUGGAGAGAAUGUAGUUGAUCAGGCUACAUUCACUCCUUGGUAUCACUAAGAACAGUCCCGAGUUAACCGAGAUACCAGCAUUAUGGUGUUUGAUUCAGCGUUAGGUCCUUACUCCUAAUGCAAGCAAGUGUGUUUUAUUUAUUUGUUUUGUUCAGAGUUAUGUUAGUCCCUCUUUUUGGUUUAUAGUUGCAUAUCAAUGUAUGGCUCGACAUGCUAGUUCACUAUAAACAAAGCUCUGAUACCAACCUGUCACACCCCCGAACCAGACGGCGGAAACGUCCGGGGGCUGUCGUGACUCAAUUGAAUACCAUAACAUUGAAUAUAUAUGAAACAAAACAACAUUCGUCACCAUUCAUCAACAUAAUACAACCAGUAGUGUUUACAUGUCAUACAUUGUUUGAGAUAUUACAUUUCCAAAAAUUAAUAUUGUUUGGUUCAUUCAAAAAUAAACUGCAACCGUCACUGAGCAUGAUUUCCCUUGACUCACUGGUUUCCUGAGAAUACAAGUAUUUUGAAAAACGUCAACAUAUGAAAUGUUGGUGAGUUCAUAAGUAGUGUUUGAAAUCGAAUGUUUAUAUUGUUUGAAAAACCACCAGAAAAUCCGAUAUUUUCUGAAAAGAAAAGCUUUCAAAAACGUUUGUGAAGAUCCAUAGGUAUGCUUGUUUGUUUCUAUACUUGCAAAAAUUGUUCAUUUAAGAUGUAUGCGUUUAAAAUCUGUAUGUGAUAAAAACCCUAGGGAAACCCGAUGUUCCCCUAGUUCUUUUGAAAUCCAUUGAGUUGCGUUGAAACCAUUACAAAAAUAGUAGUAUCGGUCCCAAGCGACGUUGGAAGGUUCUCGAGCAUUGAUUAUUUACUACAAACCCGCAUUACACAAAUGCCCGGUUUAUAGAUAUACCAACGAUUCCCGAAGGCGUCGUCAGUACUAAUCACGUUAUCCAAUCGCCCGGACUAUGAGUGGUCCCACAUCCGAAGAGAAAGAGGUCACGAAGACCCCGGUAACUCUAUUAACCGGCUGGGGAAAAAUGUGUGCGAGGGGUCCCCGACCCGCCUCGUAAAAUGUGUAGACUUUUCUAGCAAUACCAUGGCCCUUGGGGUCCAAUGGUACAAGCCAUUGAAAGUCACCCUACGUUGUGCCAAGUCGGUAAAACUCAACACUUCGUAGAAAAAAAAUGUCUUCGGGCCUUAAGAUCAGGUCAUUGGGCUAGCUAGGCCCAACAAACAAGAUUUUACACUUUUGGGGCCCGAAGAUGGUGCGUAGACGUCUGUGCACACUCGUAUGUAUGUGUAUUACCAAUCGUUAUUUGUAUGUAUCAAAGAGUUAGUAGUUGUGGAUUUUCAUUGGCUCGAGACCGAGCCAAUUCGUUUAACAACGACUUUUGGUAUUGUAAUGAGUUGUAUUUCGUUGGUAGUUGAGGUGUCAUUAUUUGAUCACAUUGUACAUAAUGAAUCAGCCUUGAAAUAUUUCUGUUUUCAGCCCCUCAUUAUUUGUAAAAUUUACAUUUUCAACCCUUUUAUUUAAAUAUUUCCCGGUUUGGUCCUUAAACUAUUUUUCUUGACAUUUUAACACCAAAAAUUAUUGAAAUUAAUAUUUUCCAGCAUAUUUUUCAAAGAAAACAGUUUAAGUCCCUGAAAAUGCAGUUUUUCUCGGUUUUAGCCCAUCUUUUCGCAAUUUUGACAAUUUUGGCCCAAAAUGGAAAAUUUUUGCAACUUUGGUCCUUUUUAAAUUUAAAAAGCAUUUUAAACCUUUGAAAAGGGUUUGGGACACUUAUAGUCCACUGUUUUACAGAAUUUCACAGUUUUGGCCCUUCAAAACAGAAAAAUUCGCAUAAUGGGCCUUAUUGGGCCGAAAUUUGCAUUUUUAGCCCAAUAGGCUUGAAAUUUAUGUUUUUAAUCCACCAAUUGAAUAGAAUUCCAGAAAUAGCUUUAUUGAAACUGUUUUGACACAUUUCAACCAUCAGAAUCUGUAAAAUGUCAUUUUGGGCCCUUAAUUUUGUAUUUUUCACAUUUUUGGCCCAAAAUAUGUGUUUUUAGCUUAAAGAAAAUUGUUGCUAACCACUUGGCUAUUUAUCUAGUACCACUUAUUAUGUAGGAACAUAUUUGAAGCUAAUAUCAUAAAACAUGAGUUAUAUCUCGGUUUUGAGGGGUUUAAUGGCUAGAUCCAACAUUAAAACACAUAUAAGCAUACAUAUAAGCAUGGAAAUCAUACAAGGCAUACAAAUACAUAUAGAUCUACACUUUCACUUGUAUUCCCCCCCACAAAAACUCUUAAAAACAGAAAAUAGGGGUAUGAAUCUCACCUUGAGUGGGUAGUUUCGGUUCUUGAAGAAAAUUGGAAGAAAUGAAGUGAUUUUUGGCCCUUGCACUCCUUGAUGAACUUUUCGAGAUUAGGAGGGUUUCUAGGGUGUAAGAUCAUGGUUUUUACAUGGAUUAGANCCAUAGAUCUAUGAAUAAUCUUACCUUAGAUGAUGAUUUACUUGCAAAAUCCUCUUGGAAAGUCCCUAAAUUUCGAGAUCUUUGGAGAGGGGAGGGAAGGAGAGUUCUUUGAGUGUUCUAGAGAGAAAGUUGAGAUAUUUUGGUGUGUGUGAUGAUGCUUGGCCGAGAGUGAGAGAGGAGAGAAGAAGAAAUGACUUUUGAAGUGAUUUGCAUGGAGAUAUGGACUAAGAUGCAUGGAGACAUGUUGGGUAAUAAUGAGGUGGCAAGCAAAUAGUCAACUCUUCCAUUUCUCCUUGAGUGUGGGCCUUGGGCCGAGAAUUUGAAAGAAAAAAAAGAUUUUUGGGCCUUUUGGCCCUUAAGCCCAAUAUUAGUGGUAAUUAGGGUGUGUUUUAAGCUUAAGAGAAUGUAGUAGGAUUUUUAUGUUUUUCUUGAACUAGUCUUAGGUUAUUCAUGUAUCAAGGCUUUUAAUUUAUUUAAUUUUAGGCCCAAAAUGACCUAAAAUGUUAAAAUAAAUAAGUGUGGGUCCAAUUAGAGCCCAAUUAGGGUUCUAAGUCCAUGAUAGUCUAGUUGGAAGCUUAUUGGCCCAUUUGGAUCCAAUAAGGAAGUUCUAGCCUAAAUUAGACUUAAUAAGAACUUCUAGGGUCUCCAAUUGUUUGAUGACUAUUUGUAGUACUUGUAUCUUGUAUUUGGUUAAAGUUUUUGAUUCACAUUAACUUGAAUGUGUAGAUUACAUAGCUUAA
This 9289-nucleotide long non-coding RNA is filed under the name Lactuca sativa (garden lettuce). RNAcentral describes it as "long non-coding RNA (LSAT_LNC007480)". The record is from RNAcentral. Lineage: Eukaryota; Viridiplantae; Streptophyta; Magnoliopsida; Asterales; Asteraceae.